AUACUUUGGCAGGGGCAAUACAAUGACCAAGGAGGUGGUUUGCCCAAAGCGAGGUUCGGCCAUUGCACUCGAGCUGUGCUGACCUUUGCAAAUUCCCCAAAUGCCGGAAUCUCGACUGCAUAAUUUCUGAUAGUAGGGGACUGAGUUCGCGCUCUUCCCUG
Tachysurus fulvidraco (yellow catfish) is the source of this 161-nucleotide small nuclear RNA. RefSeq annotates it as U1 spliceosomal RNA. Lineage: Eukaryota; Metazoa; Chordata; Actinopteri; Siluriformes; Bagridae. The record is from RefSeq and is a predicted model, not a curated record. The transcript has a single exon.